UACGUAGGCAGCGAGCGUUGUUCGGAGUUACUGGGCGUAAAGAGUGCGUAGGCGGUUUUCUAAGUUUGGUGUGAAAUCUCCCGGCUCAACUGGGAGGGUGCGCCGAAUACUGAGUGACUAGAGUGCGGGAGAGGAAAGUGGAAUUCCUGGUGUAGCGGUGAAAUGCGUAGAUAUCAGGAGGAACAUCGGUGGUGUAGACGGCUUUCUGGACCGUAACUGACGCUGAGACACGAAAGCGUGGGUAGCAAACAGG
RNAcentral lists this ribosomal RNA (253 nucleotides) under uncultured bacterium. RNAcentral's name for it is "partial 16S ribosomal RNA". It matches the Rfam family "Bacterial small subunit ribosomal RNA", at positions 524 to 776 of the family's 1533-position model. The record is from RNAcentral.